RNAcentral lists this unclassified non-coding RNA (433 nucleotides) under soil metagenome. Its description in RNAcentral is "partial contains 5.8S ribosomal RNA, internal transcribed spacer 2, and large subunit ribosomal RNA". The stretch from base 1 to 120 matches the Rfam family "5.8S ribosomal RNA", at positions 35 to 154 of the family's 154-position model. The record is from RNAcentral.
GAUGAAGAACGCAGCGAAAUGCGAUACGUAAUGUGAAUAGCAGAAUUCAGUGAAUCAUCGAAUCUUUGAACGCAUAUUGCGCUCUCUGGUAUUCCGGAGAGCAUGCUUGUUUGAGUAUCAGUAAACACCUCAACUCCCCUUUCUUUUUUUGAAAUGGGAGCUGGACUUGAGUGAUCCCAACGCUUUUCUCACCGAAAAGUGGCGGGUUACUUGAAAUGCAGGUGCAGCUGGACUUUUCUCUGAGAUAAAAGCAUAUCUAUUUAGUCUGCCUAAAAAACAGAUUAUUACCUUUGCUGCAGCUAACAUAAAGGAGAUUAGUUCUUGUGCUGACUGAUGCAGGAUUCACAGAGACAGCUUCGGCUGGCCUUUGUAAACUCGAUCUCAAAUCAAGUAAGACUACCCGCUGAACUUAAGCAUAUCAAUAAGCGGAGGA